GAAAUGCGAUACGUAGUGUGAAUUGCAGAAUUCAGUGAAUCAUCGAAUCUUUGAACGCACAUUGCGCCCUUUGGUAUUCCAAAGGGCAUGCCUGUUCGAGCGUCAUUUGUACCCUCAAGCUUUGCUUGGUGUUGGGCGUUUUUGUCUUUGGCCUUGCCCAAAGACUCGCCUUAAAACGAUUGGCAGCCGGCCUACUGGUUUCGGAGCGCAGCACAUUUUUGCGCUUGCAACCAGCAAAAGAGGCCAGCAAUCCAUCAAGACUUCUUCUCACUUUUGACCUCGGAUCAGGUAGGGAUACCCGCUGAACUUAAGC
RNAcentral lists this unclassified non-coding RNA (313 nucleotides) under plant metagenome. RNAcentral's name for it is "partial contains 5.8S ribosomal RNA, internal transcribed spacer 2, and large subunit ribosomal RNA". The stretch from base 1 to 105 matches the Rfam family "5.8S ribosomal RNA", at positions 50 to 154 of the family's 154-position model. The record is from RNAcentral.